Molecule: long non-coding RNA, 680 nt
Organism: Mastomys coucha (southern multimammate mouse)
Lineage: Eukaryota; Metazoa; Chordata; Mammalia; Rodentia; Muridae
Exons: 3
Source: RefSeq, a predicted model, not a curated record
GCAUCAUCUUAUUGUGACAGCAACAGCUUGGGCAUGUGGAUAUGAAGCAGGAGCAGCUGCUACAGUAAAAUGACAGUGCCCACAUAGAAGGGACAGACGAGAAGAUCUGAGGUCCUGGUGAGGUUUCUGGGCCACCAUGGAGAAGGCUCUGGGAGUGUGCCCUUCUGAUGACCUCCCAGUUGGCGAUAUUUCUUUUCUCACUUUGGCUGAGACUCUUUUUUGAGUCAAAGAUGUCUGUGAGCUAAAGCUACAGCAUCCUUGCUUCGCUGCCUUCUUUGAGUUCCUCUGUUAUGUCAUAAGGAGCUAGCUGAUGUGCAGCAGGUGUAGAGUACAGUGUUGUAAAGUGAGUGAAGCAACAGUCAAGCCAGGAGUUUGACUAGCAAGAAUCCAUCUCCAGGAUACAAGUCACCCCAGAAUGGAAUUAAGCCUAGCUAUCAUGGACAGCUGGUGUAGCUGAGGUCUUAUCCCACGAAGCUUUGCACAAAAAGCAGCUGACCAAGGUUACCAGGAAUACAAGACCUCCUUUCUCCUGUUAGUAACGCUGCCCUCCACACUGUUGUCUGAACAGCUGUGUCUGUGUACCAUGUGCAGUAACAAGGCCAGAAGAAGGAAUUGGAUCCCCUUGAACUAUAGUGACAGACACUUGUGGUAUGUUGAUGCUGGGAAGUGAAUUGUGGUCC